UAAAAACUAAUAGAUUUAGGUACUAAAGUUUGAGAACUUUGGUUUAAAAGGGAAGCAGGUGUAAUUCCUGCAUGGUCCCGCCGCUGUGAUGGGGAAAUGGUUCAGUUAUGCCACUGGUUAAGACUGGGAAGGUGUGAAUCAUUGAUGACCUGAAGUCAGAAGACCUGCCUAAAGCUCUAUGCCACA
RNAcentral lists this non-coding RNA (186 nucleotides) under Desulfosporosinus meridiei. Lineage: Bacteria; Bacillati; Bacillota; Clostridia; Eubacteriales; Desulfitobacteriaceae. The record is from RNAcentral.